CGGAUUAGCGGCGGACGGGUGAGUAACACGUGAGUAACCUGCCUUAGACAUUGGGAUAGCCUCGGGAAACCGGGAUUAAUACCAAAUAAAAUCAUAAUGACACAUGUCAUAACGAUCAAAACUCCGGUGGUCUAAGAUGGACUCGCGUCCCAUUAGCUAGUCGGUAGAGUAAAAGCCUACCAAGGCGACGAUGGGUAGCCGGCCUGAGAGGGUGAACGGCCACAUUGGAACUGAGAAACGGUCCAA
This 246-nucleotide ribosomal RNA is filed under the name uncultured Eubacteriales bacterium. RNAcentral describes it as "uncultured Clostridiales bacterium partial 16S ribosomal RNA". It matches the Rfam family "Bacterial small subunit ribosomal RNA", at positions 88 to 334 of the family's 1533-position model. The record is from RNAcentral. Lineage: Bacteria; Bacillati; Bacillota; Clostridia; Eubacteriales.